CCUACAAAAACUGAGAUUAUUAAUGCUAGAUUUUGCAUCUGAAGAAACAAAGCCAUGCAGAUUAUAAAUAUUGCACGUAUAACAACACUGGAAUCAGUAGAGUAACACACUACCUGUACUUCUGAGUGUUCAGCAAAAAUUCUGAACCUACUAUAAAAUAAAAACAAUGCAGAAGGGAGGCAGGUGGAAAUAUUUAAAUCUCUCUCUUAAAUAAACAGGAAUGGAGAUAUUUGUAAAGAUUUUAAAUGGAAGUUAAUGUAUGUGAACAACAAUAUAAUGAAAUAUUGCCAACAGACAACCCAUUAAGAAUGAGAUAAGAACAUCAUCAUUAACUGAAGUGGGAGCAAGAUGAGGCUUUGAAGAUAACCCCAUACCAGUCUACUGAAACAAGGCCAAAAUUUGCAGCCUGUCACCCACUGGAGAGAAUUUGGCCCUUUAGGAGCACUGAAACACACUGAGAUCAAGAAAGGGUGGUAACAACGAAGUGUAUGUUCCUCGUGGGAUAUAUGGAGUCAGUAGCAGUGAAUAAAAUGCUACAAUUAAACUAAAUGCAGUAAGCUUCAGCAGGCACAAUUCCUGAUCCUGCAAGAUGCCAAGUACUCUCAAGUCAAGAUCAAGUACUUAGAGCUCUACUACAAAAGAAACAAGCAUAAAAGACAAAAUACUAAACUCAUUACUACGGAACAGGCAUGAAGAGGAGCAUCUCUUCCCUUACCUACAGGAUACUACCAAAUCACUAUUGACUAAAUGGUCAAUUACCCAGGACAUCACUGCAAUAUCAAUUUCCAUCUUUGACUCCCAUUGUCCUACGAAAAUCAAUGACUAUGCCAUCGGUGCAUAUUUGCUUUCCUAUAUGUACUUUGGCACUCCCAUUUCCCAAAACCGCUGAAGCCAGUAAUUGAUAUUACAGUCUGUUCUUUAUGGGAUGCUUAAUAACAAAAUAUGUUUUUAACAAGCCUAGUCAUACUCCAUUGUUUUAGUUAUUUUUUCAUAAAACCAAGUAAUGUUAAGGGAACUACUGAGGAUAAAUCCACGGUUCACAUUCAAAGCAAUGUCUGUUUUACCUGGCAUUGACAAAGAACAGCUUUUCACUUCUAUGACACCAUUCACACAUGGAUUUCAAAGCAUUUUACAAACACCAGUAAAAUCCUGUUGGAGCGUGCCCAGAGGAGGACCACAAAAACGAUCCAAGGGAUGGAACACCUCUGCUAUGAGGACAGGCUGAAAGAGUUGGGGCUGCUCAGCCUGAAGAAGAGAAAGUUCUGAGGUGACCUGAGAGCAUCCUUUAAAUGUCUGAAGGGGAGCUACAGGAAAGAAGGAGACAAACACUCUAGCAAGAUCUGUUGUGACAGAACAAGGGGAAAUGGUUUCAAGCUUAAUGAGGGUAGAUUUAGUUUAGAUAUAAAGUUCUUUACAAUGAAGGUGUUGAGGCAUUGGCACAUCACACAGGUUGUCCAGAGAUGUGGUGGACACCUCACCUCUGGAAACUUUCAAGGCAAGGCUGGAUCAGACCCUAAGCAACCUGAUCGAGCUACACAUGUUGCUGUUCAUUGCAGGGGAGUUGGACUAGAUGACCUUUAAAGAUGUCUUCCAAUUCUAAGGAUUCUAUGAUUCUGUGAUCCCCUAUUUGUAAAUCUAUUGCAGGAGACACAGAAAUCUCAAGUUAAAAUAUGGAGUGAGACACUCAUUAACAGAAUCAAUCGAAAAGCCCCUGAACCCAUAAAAGUCUUUAGCCUUGUGAUAAGUCCUAUUGAAAUUAGACCAUCUGUAAAAACAGGUAGGGAGUUAUCCUUUUACAGUGUGCAUACACCAAGGACACUAAGGUUAGUGUCUGUUCUCAAAUCCAACUUUUAUCAAUGUAACAUCAAUGAAAUAGAAAGAUAGAGAUGUAAAGUACCAGAAAUAUAAUUUUAUGGGAAAAAAAAUUACACAGCCUUUUCUGUGCUACAAGGCAAUUAAUUAGUCCUAUACCCUCCUAGGAAAACUACAAAAUCCUUAAGCACAAAGAAAUUUUAAAGUCUUACAUAGCUUGAGAUCGCUGUACCUCGAGUAAUCUUUCUGGCUUUUAAUAACAUUUCCAUAGAAUUUCAUCAUUCUGGAUCACUGUUGUCGUAGGAGAACUCGCAAAAAAGGACAGAAUAUUGCAAAGAAUUCUCCUCCAAAUUUAGUUCAGCAUGUUUCACUGUAAUGUGCUUUCUGCGGGA
Molecule: long non-coding RNA, 2204 nt
Organism: Gallus gallus (chicken)
Lineage: Eukaryota; Metazoa; Chordata; Aves; Galliformes; Phasianidae
Source: Ensembl